This 388-nucleotide long non-coding RNA is filed under the name Hordeum vulgare. Its description in RNAcentral is "long non-coding RNA (HVUL_LNC006908)". The record is from RNAcentral. Lineage: Eukaryota; Viridiplantae; Streptophyta; Magnoliopsida; Poales; Poaceae.
CUCAAGGCAUUUCCCUCGCGAGAGGUGUCCAGGGCAUGCACAAGGCCGACUAGGGCACCGGAUCGGUGCGAGUCUAGCCUCGGGUGUGCGUGCAGCGCGAUGCGCGUUCGUCCCGCUCGAGGUGGAAGAAAGGGUGCGGGGUCCACCCGUCAGCUCCUGAAGGCGAAGGAGGGCAGGAGCUACUCAUGUGGCGUACCGCUUCGGUAGUAGCUGCGCCGUGGGCCGGCCUCACAGCGGCUAUGCUCUGCCGCGCGCGGGCGAAACCCCUCGUGGGCCACUGUGCAGACCGUCUACACAAUGCGUUGCGAUUUUUUUUAAACUGCUAAAAUAAUCUGGCUAAAACAAAUACGAGGAUUUUUUUUUAGAAAAUACUAAUGGCACACAGUAA